Molecule: ribosomal RNA, 494 nt
Filed under: uncultured bacterium
Lineage: Bacteria
Description: partial 16S ribosomal RNA
Rfam family: Bacterial small subunit ribosomal RNA
Source: RNAcentral
GACGAACGCUGGCGGCGCGCUUAACACAUGCCAGUCGAACGGAAAGGCCUGCUUUCCCUUGUGGAUUGCGGGUACUCGAGUGGCGAACGGGUGAGUAACACGUGAGUGAUCUGCCCCCAACUUGGGUAUAAGCCUGGGAAACUGGGUCUAAUUCCCGAUAGGACUGCAGGGUGGUGCCUGUGGUGGAAAACGAUUUUCUAGUGGUUGGGGAUGAGCUCGCGGCCUAUCAGCUUGUUGGUGGGGUAAUGGCCUACCAAGGCGGCGACGGGUAGCCGGCCUGAGAGGGUGGACGGCCACAUUGGGACUGAGAUACGGCCCAGACUCCUACGGGAGGCAGCAGUGGGGAAUAUUGCACAAUGGGCGGAAGCCUGAGGCAGCGACGCCGCGUGGGGGAUGACGGCCUUCGGGUUGUAAACUCCUUUCGACCGCGAGGAAGCCACCUGGUUGGAAGGGUGGUGACGGUAGUGGUAGAAGAAGCACCGGCUAACUACGUG